AACGAACGCUGGCGGCGCGCCUAAUACAUGCAAGUCGAGCGAGAAGACGUAGCAAUACGUUUGUAAAGCGGCGAACGGGUGAGGAAUACAUGGGUAACCUACCCUCGAGUGGGGAAGUAACUAGCCGAAAGGUUAGCUAAUACCGCGUACGCUCCUUGGACUUCGGUUCAGGGAGGAAAGCGAUACCGUGGGUAUCGCGCUCUUGGAUGGGCUCAUGUCCUAUCAGCUUGUUGGUGAGGUAACGGCUCACCAAGGCUUCGACGGGUAGCUGGUCUGAGAGGACGGAUCAGCCACACUGGCACUGCGACACGGGCCAGACUCCUACGGGAGGCAGCAGUAAGGAAUAUUGCGCAAUGGGCGAAAGCCUGACGCAGCGACGCCGCGUGGGGGA
RNAcentral lists this ribosomal RNA (391 nucleotides) under uncultured bacterium. RNAcentral's name for it is "bacterial SSU rRNA". It matches the Rfam family "Bacterial small subunit ribosomal RNA", at positions 29 to 408 of the family's 1533-position model. The record is from RNAcentral.